ACCCGCACAAGCGGUGGAUGAUGUGGAUUAAUUCGAUGCAACGCGAGAACCUUACCUACCCUUGACAUGUCCGGAAACUUGCCAGAGAUGGCUUGGUGCCCGAAAGGGAAUCGGAACACAGGUGCUGCAUGGCUGUCGUCAGCUCGUGUCGUGAGAUGUUGGGUUAAGUCCCGCAACGAGCGCAACCCUUAUCAUUAGUUGCUACGCAAGGGCACUCUAAUGAGACUGCCGGUGACAAACCGGAGGAAGGUGGGGAUGACGUCAAGUCCUCAUGGCCCUUAUGGGUAGGGCUUCACACGUCAUACAAUGGUCGGUACAGAGGGUUGCCAAGCCGCGAGGCGGAGCCAAUCCCACAAAGCCGAUCGUAGUCCGGAUUGUUCUCUGCAACUCGAGAGCAUGAAGUCGGAAUCGCUAGUAAUCGCAGGUCAGCAUACUGCGGUGAAUACGUUCCCGGGUCUU
RNAcentral lists this ribosomal RNA (459 nucleotides) under uncultured Thiobacillus sp. RNAcentral's name for it is "bacterial SSU rRNA". It matches the Rfam family "Bacterial small subunit ribosomal RNA", at positions 919 to 1382 of the family's 1533-position model. Lineage: Bacteria; Pseudomonadati; Pseudomonadota; Betaproteobacteria; Nitrosomonadales; Thiobacillaceae. The record is from RNAcentral.